RNAcentral lists this ribosomal RNA (465 nucleotides) under Vreelandella stevensii. RNAcentral's name for it is "partial 16S ribosomal RNA". It matches the Rfam family "Bacterial small subunit ribosomal RNA", at positions 338 to 795 of the family's 1533-position model. The record is from RNAcentral. Lineage: Bacteria; Pseudomonadati; Pseudomonadota; Gammaproteobacteria; Oceanospirillales; Halomonadaceae.
CCUACGGGCGGCAGCAGUGGGGAAUAUUGGACAAUGGGGGCAACCCUGAUCCAGCCAUGCCGCGUGUGUGAAGAAGGCCCUCGGGUUGUAAAGCACUUUCAGUGAGGAAGAACGCCUGGUGGUUAAUACCCAUCAGGAAAGACAUCACUCACAGAAGAAGCACCGGCUAACUCCGUGCCAGCAGCCGCGGUAAUACGGAGGGUGCGAGCGUUAAUCGGAAUUACUGGGCGUAAAGCGCGCGUAGGUGGCUUGAUAAGCCGGUUGUGAAAGCCCCGGGCUCAACCUGGGAACGGCAUCCGGAACUGUCAAGCUAGAGUGCAGGAGAGGAAAGUAGAAUUCCCGGUGUAGCGGUGAAAUGCGUAGAGAUCGGGAGGAAUACCAGUGGCGAAGGCGGCCUUCUGGACUGACACUGACACUGAGGUGCGAAAGCGUGGGUAGCAAACAGGAUUAGAUACCCCGGUAGUC